Long non-coding RNA from Oncorhynchus keta (chum salmon), 1505 nucleotides. RefSeq lists it as uncharacterized. NCBI's taxonomy places the organism in Eukaryota, Metazoa, Chordata, Actinopteri, Salmoniformes, Salmonidae. The transcript has 3 exons. The record is from RefSeq and is a predicted model, not a curated record.
GUGUGCUCCAAUGUAGAGUGUGCUCCAAUGUAGAGUGUGCUCCAAUGUAGAAUGUGCUCCAAUGUAGAGUGUGCUCCAAUGUAGAAUGUGCUCCAAUGUAGAGUGUGCUCCAAUGUAGAAUGUGCUCCAAUGUAGAGUGUGCUCCAAUGUAGAGUGUGCUCCAAUGUAGAAUGUGCUCCAAUGUAGAGUGUGCUCCAAUGUAGAGUGUGCUCCAAUGUAGAAUGUGCUCCAAUGUAGAGUGUGCUCCAAUGUAGAGUGUGCUCCAAUGUAGAGUGUGCUCCAAUGUAGAGUGUGCUCCAAUGUAGAAUGUGCUCCAAUGUAGAGUGUGCUCCAAUGUAGAGUGUGCUCCAAUGUAGAAUGUGCUCCAAUGUAGAGUGUGCUCCAAUGUAGAAUGUGCUCCAAUGUAGAGUGUGCUCCAAUGUAGAGUGUGCUCCAAUGUAGAGUGUGCUCCAAUGUAGAAUGUGCUCCAAUGUAGAGUGUGCUCCAAUGUAGAAUGUGCUCCAAUGUAGAGUGUGCUCCAAUGUAGAGUGUGCUCCAAUGUAGUGUGCAUAUCCUGUGUGGCUCAGUUGGUAACGUUGAAGUGUGACGCUAACAACGCCAGGGUUGUGGAUUCGUAUCCCGCUUUGGGGGCACAUAAUAUAAAAUAUAUACACUCUCUGGAAAUUGCUUUGGAUAAAAGAGUCUAAUAAAUAGCAUCAGAUAAAAUAUAAUGGAAGGUGUGCCUUUAAGAAAUAGAACGUGUCUGUGAUGGAAGGUGUGGUGCCUUUAAGAAAUAGAAUGUGUCUGUGAUGGAAGGUGUGGUGCCUUUAAGAAAUAGAACGUGUCUGUGAUGGAAGGUGUGGUGCCUUUAAGAAAUAGAACGUGUCUGUGAUGGAAGGUGUGGUGCCUUUAAGAAAUAGAACGUGUCUGUGAUGGAAGGUGUGGUGCCUUUAAGAAAUAGAAUGUGUCUGUGAUGGAAGGUGUGGUGCCUUUAAGAAAUAGAACGUGUCUGUGAUGGAAGGUGUGGUGCCUUUAAGAAAUAGAACGUGUCUGUGAUGGAAGGUGUGGUGCCUUUAAGAAAUAGAACGUGUCUGUGAUGGAAGGUGUGGUGCCUUUAAGAAAUAGAACGUGUCUGUGAUGGAAGGUGUGGUGCCUUUAAGAAAUAGAACGUGUCUGUGAUGGAAGGUGUGGUGCCUUUAAGAAAUAGAACGUGUCUGUGAUGGAAGGUGUGGUGCCUUUAAGAAAUAGAACGUGUCUGUGAUGGAAGGUGUGUUGUAUUUAAGAAUAGCUGGGUUGUAGCUGUAUGUUAUUCAGCAUGAAUGUGAUUUUCCCAGUAGCAUCUGGCUCUUGUGUAAGAGACUAUGGUCAGAGGGCACAGACCUUUCUAUACACACACACACACACACACACACACACACACACACACACACACACACACACACACACACACACACACACACACACACACACACACACACACACACACACACACACACACACACACACACACACACACACACACACAC